Long non-coding RNA from Solanum verrucosum, 251 nucleotides. RefSeq lists it as uncharacterized. The record is from RefSeq and is a predicted model, not a curated record. NCBI's taxonomy places the organism in Eukaryota, Viridiplantae, Streptophyta, Magnoliopsida, Solanales, Solanaceae. The transcript is spliced from 2 exons.
GAUAUAGAGUCAACACGCCACAAAUCAUCCAGGACAAGCAAAUACUUUUUUUCUCCCAAUGCUUCUUGAAGCAUCUUGACUAUUAAAUCUCUGCUUUGGACCUCACCUUUCCUCUUUGUCAGUGAUUCGAGGAUCAGUUCAAGAAAGCUCUUAGUUUCUGACAUUUCAGGUAGGCACAACCAAACUCUCUUUUCGAACUGCUGCUUGAUGUAUUCGUCAUUGAAAAUUCUCUUAGCCACAGUUGUUUUCCC